Molecule: long non-coding RNA, 575 nt
Organism: Zea mays
Lineage: Eukaryota; Viridiplantae; Streptophyta; Magnoliopsida; Poales; Poaceae
Exons: 2
Source: RefSeq, a predicted model, not a curated record
CUUGGAUCAAAUCAACCUGGGCAUAUUCCUCUCUCUUUCCUCAUCCUCAUCCGAGUGGCUCUCUCCGUGUGCUGUGGCGGCGCCUGGCUCUGCUCGGACGGACUCCACCGAAGGCGCUCGGCUCCCCUCGGGCUCCACCUGCGACGGCCGGCCCUCUGCCUGCACCGACGGUGCCCGGCCCCCUCGGCAUCCACCAGCGGUGCUCGGCUCCAAGGUUGCAAAUGUUCAACACAUGUGGCCGCAAUGUCCACAGGUUUCAAAUGUCCCAACUGGACCUAGCCCUCACGGACGGAAGUGCCCAGGACCUGUCAAUAUACUAGUGUAUUGCGCCUGCGCGUAUUCCAGCAUAGGUUUCACGAAGGAACGAUUGAUAUUCCGGUCGUGUAUGUUUGUCAAAAUAAUCAUUUCUAGAUAGUGGUAGCAAACUGAAUUUCCUUUGUCAUGCAGUUGUAAUCUUGAACAUGGCUGAAUUAUGAAUGGUGGUAGCAAACUGUUUCAUGGCAUCAAACUGAAUUUCUAAAAUUUUGGAUGGUGCUAGCAAAUUGGAUGGUGCUAGCAAAUAGAAUGUUAUGGCA